Molecule: ribosomal RNA, 234 nt
Filed under: Bacillus sp. EKM420B
Lineage: Bacteria; Bacillati; Bacillota; Bacilli; Caryophanales; Bacillaceae
Description: partial 23S ribosomal RNA
Rfam family: Bacterial large subunit ribosomal RNA
Source: RNAcentral
GGAAGAGAAAGCAAACGCGAUUGCCUUAGUAGCGGCGAGCGAAACGGCAGGAGGGCAAACCGAGAAGUUUACUUCUCGGGGUUGUAGGACUGCGACAUGGGACUUUAAAAGGAUAGAAGAAUUACCUGGGAAGGUAAGCCAAAGAGAGUAAUAGCCUCGUAUUUAAAAUUCUUUUGAGCCCUAGCAGUAUCCUGAGUACGGCGAGACACGCGAAAUCUCGUCGGAAUCUGGGAG